UGGGGAAUAUUGGACAAUGGGCGCAAGCCUGAUCCAGCCAUGCCGCUUGAGUGAUGAAGGCCUUAGGGUUGUAAAGCUCUUUUAGCGGGGAAGAUAAUGACGGUACCCGCAGAAAAAGCCCCGGCUAACUUCGUGCCAGCAGCCGCGGUAAUACGAAGGGGGCUAGCGUUGCUCGGAAUUACUGGGCGUAAAGCGCACGUAGGCGGACUCUUAAGUCGGUGGUGAAAUCCUGGAGCUCAACUCCAGAACUGCCUUCGAUACUGGGAGUCUUGAGUUCGGGAGAGGUGAGUGGAACUGCGAGUGUAGAGGUGAAAUUCGUAGAUAUUCGCAAGAACACCAGUGGCGAAGGCGGCUCACUGGCCCGAUACUGACGCUGAGGUGCGAAAGCGUGGGGAGCAAACA
RNAcentral lists this ribosomal RNA (402 nucleotides) under uncultured bacterium. RNAcentral describes it as "bacterial SSU rRNA". It matches the Rfam family "Bacterial small subunit ribosomal RNA", at positions 355 to 774 of the family's 1533-position model. The record is from RNAcentral.